UUCCUUCGUCUCCUCCUUCUUCAAUCUCCUCUUAGCUUUGACGUUUCUUCUUCUUGAAACGAUCAUCGAUCAAUCAAGCAUAACUCCAUCUUCUACAAUCAAUCCUUCUAAGAUCUCAUUUAUGGUUUCGUUUGGCCUUUCUCCUUCUAAGUGUAUUUAUACCUUUUUUGUUUACCUCAUAUUCUUAAUCGUCUUUUUUUUUCCUGCUCAAAAUUAUCUCAAACGAUGAAUUCCAGCAGCAAUUCCGGAGAUCUGAUGUCCAAGAAACCAGAUGGCAAUAAUGGUGCUUCCCUUGCCGUACCAAUCAAACAGACCGGCCGUACCGGUGACUCUUCCGCCGAAGCUGUCUCCGGCUUCUUUGGCAACGCCGGUGCUUCCUCUGCCGUAAUCAUCAAGCAGAGCGGCCGAGCCGGUGACUCUUCCGCCAAAACUGUCUCCGGCUUUCCAUUGUUGACCAAAGCAAACGGCAAGGCCGUAGUGUGCUCCGACGUGCCCAUCAGGCGUAUGAUAGAAGACUAAUCAAGAACCAAUUUCGAAGAGGAAAAGAAGGGAGCAUUGGCUAAUUGUAUGUGAACUUCUUAAGGACAUUCUAUACGAAUUCAACAAAUUCAACAGAGAAUCAGGUGGUGACGUUUAUUACACAAUGCCAAUAUUGCAGGUUAGUCCGAUUCCUAAUCUCUUUUGGACGUUUUGUACAGUCAAUCACUAUUCAGUGCCUUGAAGCACUUUUACAUGGCCUUGGACUUAUAAACUGUGAUUUGAAGCCUCAGAACAUAUUGGUCAAAAGCUACAGCAGAUGUGAAUUGGUUGCAGCUGUUUCGAGACAGAUUACAUAUUCUCCUGUCCAGUCGAGGUCAUAUAGAGCACCAGAUGUAAUUUUUGGGACUGUAACUCUUCGAUGGCUUUGUUAUCUCUCAUCAAUAACUAUUUUUCUCAUUUCCUUUCCUCAGUAUAUCAAUGUUUUUGCUUUCAUUUUUGACUGAAGCAUGCAUUUGUGGUGGUCGGGUAAGCCUAUUCUGACUCCUUUGGUGCGUUCAUAAUAAUUUAGUCCUUUCCAUCAUAUUUUAAGAUAUUUUUGAUGUAUCUUUUCAGGUACACAGUUUAUUAGAGUUUUGGAGACGGGUUGGAUGUUUGUGUGUCAUGUUUAUAUGAGUAUAAGCAAGGUAUGCGUGUGAUUCUGGUGAUUUUCCAGUUUGUGUGAGCUUAGCAUAGGAGUGAGCUUUGGAGAGGUGAUGCUCUGCGACGGUGACACAUGGCAGGAGAAGUUGACGAGGGGUUUGUUCAAAUGGCUCCUCCGAGUUGGGUCAGAGCAGUCGCACUAGAGACGUUUGGGGCUAUGUCGGUCAUCCACAUCCUCUUCCCAACUCAUAUCUUUGUCCCUGAUUGCACAAAUCUAUAAUCUUUUUUGACAUUGAAAACUGCGUCCCUUUGUUCAUGGCCAUAAAGUAAGCAUAUAUACUCAUACAUGUACGUGUUAUAUAUUGUUUUUAUAUGUGAAUUAUUUGAUGAAACAUUUUUUAUGCAAACCAAAGAACUGGUGAGUGGACCAAUCAUCAUUACAAACAAAGGUCAAUGUACUUUUUUUGUUUCCUCUAUAUACAUACAAGUUUUAUGUC
Raphanus sativus (radish) is the source of this 1616-nucleotide long non-coding RNA. RefSeq lists it as uncharacterized. NCBI's taxonomy places the organism in Eukaryota, Viridiplantae, Streptophyta, Magnoliopsida, Brassicales, Brassicaceae. The transcript has 3 exons. The record is from RefSeq and is a predicted model, not a curated record.